Molecule: ribosomal RNA, 443 nt
Filed under: uncultured bacterium
Lineage: Bacteria
Description: partial 16S ribosomal RNA
Rfam family: Bacterial small subunit ribosomal RNA
Source: RNAcentral
CCUACGGGUGGCAGCAGUGGGGAAUAUUGGGCAAUGGGCGCAAGCCUGACCCAGCAACGCCGCGUGAAGGAAGAAGGCUUUCGGGUUGUAAACUUCUUUUCUCAGGGACGAAGGAAGUGACGGUACCUGAGUAAUAAGCCACGGCUAAAUUCGUGCCAGCAGCCGGGGUGAUGCGUAGGUGGCAAGCGUGAUGCGGAUUUAUUGGUUGUAAAGGGCGUGGAGGCGGGGGCGCAAGUCAGAUGGUAAAAGUCAGGGCUCAAACCUGAGCCUGCAUUUGAAACGGUGGUUCUUGAGUGAUGGAGAGGAAAGCGGAAUUCCGUGUGUAGCGGUGAAAUGCGUAGAUAUACGGAGGAACACCAGUGGCGAAAGCGGAUUGCUGGACAGUAACUGACGCUGAGGCGCGAAAGCGUGGGGAGCAAACAGGAUUAGAUACCCCGGUAGUC